AUAUACAUGCAGUCGAGCGACAGAUAAGGAGCUUGCUCCUUUGACGUUAGCGGCGGACGGGAAGAACACGUGGGUAACCUACCUAUAAGACUGGGAUAACUUCGGGAAACCGGAGCUAAUACCGGAUAACAUUUGGAACCGCAUGGUUCUAAAGUGAAAGAUGGUUUUGCUAUCACUUAUAGAUGGACCCGCGCCGUAUUAGCUAGUUGGUAAGGUAACGGCUUACCAAGGGGACCAUACCGAGCCGACCCUGAGAGGGUGAUCGGCCACACUGGAACUGAGACACGGUCCAGACUCCUACGGGAGGCAGCAGUAGGGAAUCUUCCGCAAUGGGCGAAAGCCUGACGGAGCAACGCCGCGUGAGUGAUGAAGGGUUUCGGCUCGUAAACUCUGUUAUUAGGGAAGAACAAAUGUGUAAGUAACUGUGCACGUCUUGACGGUACCUAAUCAGAAAGCCACGGCUAACUACGUGCCAGCAGCCGCGGUAAUACGUAGGUGGCAAGCGUUAUCCGGAAUUAUUGGGCGUAAAGCGCGCGUGGGCGGUUUCUUAAGUCUGAUGUGAAAGCCCACGGCUCAACCGUGGAGGGUCAUUGGAAACUGGGAAACUUGAGUGCAGAAGAGGAAAGUGAAAUUCCAUGUGUAGCGGUGACAUGCGCAGAGAUAUGGAGGACACCAGUGGCGAAGGCGACUUUCUGGUCUGSAACUGACGCUGAUGUGCGAAAGCGUGGGGAUCAAACAGGAUUAGAUACCUGGUAGUCCACGCCGUAAACGAUGAGUGCUAAGUGUUAGGGGGUUUCCGCCCCUUAGUGCUGCAGCUAACGCAUUAAGCACUCCGCCUGGGGAGUACGACCGCAAGGUUGAAACUCAAAGGAAUUGACGGGGACCCGCACAAGCGGUGGAGCAUGUGGUUUAAUUCGAAGCAACGCGAAGAACCUUACCAAAUCUUGACAUCCUUUGAAAACUCUAGAGAUAGAGCCUUCCCCUUCGGGGGACAAAGUGACAGGUGGUGCAUGGUUGUCGUCAGCUCGUGUCGUGAGAUGUUGGGUUAAGUCCCGCAACGAGCGCAACCCUUAAGCUUAGUUGCCAUCAUUAAGUUGGGCACUCUAGGUUGACUGCCGGUGACAAACCGGAGGAAGGUGGGGAUGACGUCAAAUCAUCAUGCCCCUUAUGAUUUGGGCUACACACGUGCUACAAUGGACAAUACAAAGGGCAGCUAAACCGCGAGGUCAUGCAAAUCCCAUAAAGUUGUUCUCAGUUCGGAUUGUAGUCUGCAACUCGACUACAUGAAGCUGGAAUCGCUAGUAAUCGUAGAUCAGCAUGCUACGGUGAAUACGUUCCCGGGUCUUGUACACACCGCCCGUCACACCACGAGAGUUUGUAACACCCGAAGCCGGUGGAGUAACCAUUUAUGGAGCUAGCCGUCG
Molecule: ribosomal RNA, 1424 nt
Filed under: Staphylococcus saprophyticus
Lineage: Bacteria; Bacillati; Bacillota; Bacilli; Caryophanales; Staphylococcaceae
Description: bacterial SSU rRNA
Rfam family: Bacterial small subunit ribosomal RNA
Source: RNAcentral